GUCCUUUAGAAUUUAAUUUAAGGUCUAACCUGCCCACUGAAUAUUAAUUUAAAUGGCCGCAGUAUUUUGACUGUGCAAAGGUAGCAUAAUCAUUAGUUUUUUAAUUAAAAGCUUGAAUGAAGGGUUGGACGAGAUAAAAUCUGUCUCUAAUAAAUUUAAUUUAGAAUUUAACUUUUAAGUUAAAAGGCUUAAAUAAAAUUAAAAGACGAGAAGACCCUAUAGAUCUUUAUAAUUUAAUUAUUAGAUUUAAUUAAGAAUUUUUAAAAUUUUAUUAAUUAAAUUAUUUUAUUGGGGUAAUAUAAAGAUUUAAAUAAUUCUUUUUUUUUAUUUACAUUAAUUUAUGAAUUUAUGAUCCAAUUUUAUUGAUUAUAAGAUUAAGUUACCUUAGGGAUAACAGCGUAAUUUUUUUAGAGAGUUCUUAUCGAUAAAAAAGUUUGCGACCUCGAUGUUGGAUUAAAGAUUAUUUCAGGUGUAGAAGUUUGAAAAUUUUGGUCUGUUCGACCAUUAAAUCUUUACAUGAUCUGAGUUCAGACCGGCGUAAGCCAGGUCGGUUUCUAUCUUUAAUAAAUUAAAAUAUUUUAGUACGAAAGGACCAAUUAUUUAAUAAAGUUAUUUAAAUUUUUGAUUAUUAUUAA
This 635-nucleotide ribosomal RNA is filed under the name Nebria fulviventris. RNAcentral's name for it is "partial large subunit ribosomal RNA". The stretch from base 390 to 549 matches the Rfam family "Bacterial large subunit ribosomal RNA", at positions 2473 to 2632 of the family's 2925-position model. Lineage: Eukaryota; Metazoa; Arthropoda; Insecta; Coleoptera; Carabidae. The record is from RNAcentral.